CAGUCGCCGCGGGAAUACGUAGGUGGCAAGCGUUGUCCGGAAUUAUUGGGCGUAAAGCGCGCGCAGGCGGAUCGGUCAGUCUGUCUUAAAAGUUCGGGGCUUAACCCCGUGAUGGGAUGGAAACUGCCAAUCUAGUGUAUCGGAGAGGAAAGUGGAAUUCCUAGUGUAGCGGUGAAAUGCGUAGAUGUUAGGAAGAACACCAGUGGCGAAGGCGACUUUCUGGACGAAAACUGACGCUGAGGCGCGAAAGCCAGGGGAGCGAACGGGAUUAGAUACCCCCGUAGUCCCUGUCUCUUAUACA
RNAcentral lists this ribosomal RNA (301 nucleotides) under uncultured bacterium. RNAcentral's name for it is "partial 16S ribosomal RNA". It matches the Rfam family "Bacterial small subunit ribosomal RNA", at positions 509 to 809 of the family's 1533-position model. The record is from RNAcentral.